Molecule: unclassified non-coding RNA, 547 nt
Filed under: Hevea brasiliensis (rubber tree)
Lineage: Eukaryota; Viridiplantae; Streptophyta; Magnoliopsida; Malpighiales; Euphorbiaceae
Source: RNAcentral
GCUCAUGCAUGAGCUUUUAGCAAGAAUACUUUUUUUCAUCAAAGAAAUGGGGAAAGAUAAUUGAACAGAUACACUAGUAUCUCUAAUUUCCUUCACUGCUGCAAAGCUCCCGGCUAGAUUUUUAUUGCUGCGUUAAUUGUGAAAGAGACUAUAAUUUUAUCUACAAAAUGGGAUUUUGAUCAUUAUCUCACAGGCAACAAAUUUUCACAAUCAUUUGGGCCCAAGAUUUUAAUUUUAGGGCUGGGUGCUUGGUAUAGUGAUGCUCCUCUAAAAACUCACUCCAGUUCCUUGAUAAAAUCAACAUUGUCUACAAAAACCGCCUUCCAACCAUCAGGAUCCAAGCAUGCAGUUAUCUUGGUGUUUAUGCCAGGUAAUGGUCCAGGUUCCCGGGUAAUCUUCCCACCAAACAAUUUGAUUGCUUCAGCAGUUUUAUAGACAUCAUCUGUGCCUAUUGCAAUCUGAGCAUAUGCAUUUCCUUUGUCAUAUUCAGUGACCCCAUAGUUGUAUGUCAACUCCAGCACAGCACUUUUGUCUUCAGGACCAUAAC